GUAGGUGGCAAGCGUUGUCCGGAAUUAUUGGGCGUAAAGCGCGCGCAGGCGGUUCUUUAAGUCUGAUGUGAAAGCCCACGGCUCAACCGUGGAGGGUCAUUGGAAACUGGAGAACUUGAGUACAGAAGAGGAAAGCGGAAUUCCACGUGUAGCGGUGAAAUGCGUAGAGAUGUGGAGGAACACCAGUGGCGAAGGCGGCUUUUCUGGUCUGUAACUGACGCUGAGGCGCGAAAGCGUGGGGAGCAAACAGGGAUUAGAUACCUGGUAGUCCACGCCGUAAACGAUGAGUGCUAAGUGUUAGGGGGUUUCCGCCCCCUUAGUGCUGCAGCUAACGCAUUAAGCACUCCGCCUGGGGAUACGGCCGCAAGGCUG
RNAcentral lists this ribosomal RNA (372 nucleotides) under uncultured organism. RNAcentral's name for it is "partial 16S ribosomal RNA". It matches the Rfam family "Bacterial small subunit ribosomal RNA", at positions 527 to 896 of the family's 1533-position model. The record is from RNAcentral.